This 554-nucleotide ribosomal RNA is filed under the name Escherichia coli. RNAcentral describes it as "partial 23S ribosomal RNA". It matches the Rfam family "Bacterial large subunit ribosomal RNA", at positions 949 to 1506 of the family's 2925-position model. The record is from RNAcentral. Lineage: Bacteria; Pseudomonadati; Pseudomonadota; Gammaproteobacteria; Enterobacterales; Enterobacteriaceae.
GCAAACUGCGAAUACCGGAGAAUGUUAUCACGGGAGACACACGGCGGGUGCUAACGUCCGUCGUGAAGAGGGAAACAACCCAGACCGCCAGCUAAGGUCCCAAAGUCAUGGUUAAGUGGGAAACGAUGUGGGAAGGCCCAGACAGCCAGGAUGUUGGCUUAGAAGCAGCCAUCAUUUAAAGAAAGCGUAAUAGCUCACUGGUCGAGUCGGCCUGCGCGGAAGAUGUAACGGGGCUAAACCAUGCACCGAAGCUGCGGCAGCGACACUAUGUGUUGUUGGGUAGGGGAGCGUUCUGUAAGCCUGUGAAGGUGUACUGUGAGGUAUGCUGGAGGUAUCAGAAGUGCGAAUGCUGACAUAAGUAACGAUAAAGCGGGUGAAAAGCCCGCUCGCCGGAAGACCAAGGGUUCCUGUCCAACGUUAAUCGGGGCAGGGUGAGUCGACCCCUAAGGCGAGGCCGAAAGGCGUAGUCGAUGGGAAACAGGUUAAUAUUCCUGUACUUGGUGUUACUGCGAAGGGGGGACGGAGAAGGCUAUGUUGGCCGGGCGACGGUUGUC